CAGCCAGGAGUCAGCUCUCGGGCCAGCUCCCGGCUUCCCAUCUGCUGCCCCACCUUCUCUGGGUGCUGGUUGCCGAGAUGCUGAAAGAGGCGCUUGUCCCCCUGAUUGAUCGGCUCCAGGAGGUGCGGCAGCUGGUGCAUGUCUGUGGGCGAGCUCACUGCCAGGAUGCUGUGUGCUGGCUACCCGCAUGGGCAGAUUGGUGCCUGCCAGGCAGGAAAGCCAACUGGAAUGGAGCCGAGCUGCUGCUGGAGCAGUGCCAGGCCUUGCUCUGCCUUGCAGGGCGACAGCGGGGGCCCCCUCGUUUGCCGGGAUGGAUCUGCGUGGUGCUUAGUAGGCAUUGCGAGCUGGGGCCAGGGCUGCGGGGAGACCAACUGCCCAGGGGGUCAGACCGAUCUGGCCCAGCUGCUGCCCUGGAUUUAUCACGGCGCUGAGAACUAAGAUCUACUAGAAGCAAAGGAAGGAGAUGAUACCUCCAGGAGCAGACGUUCAUGAAGUAUGCCUGGACUGUUUGUCACUUACAAUUGCAUCUGUACCCCCGACAGAGGCCUCACAUGACACGGGGAUGUAGCACUGACAGAACCCAGUCUGUGCAGUAAGUAAGUAAUGCGACCUGCUCAUUAAAGGGUCAAAUUGAGGAAGAAGUGCUUAAUAAGGAAGAUAGAAAGCAGGAGAGCAGCAUGUAUGGUCAAGCAUUAGCUCCAUCAACCCUGUGUGUGCUGGGUGCUAAUAAGUGCUGGAAAGAGGAGGGGGAGUGCUUGUAAAAAAAUGCU
Rhea pennata is the source of this 770-nucleotide long non-coding RNA. RefSeq lists it as uncharacterized. The record is from RefSeq and is a predicted model, not a curated record. The transcript is spliced from 4 exons. NCBI's taxonomy places the organism in Eukaryota, Metazoa, Chordata, Aves, Rheiformes, Rheidae.